GUCGAGCGCGAAUUUCCUUCGGGAAUGAGUAGAGCGGCGGACGGGUGAGUAACGCGUAGGAAUCUACCUAGUAGUGGGGGACAACAUGUGGAAACGCAUGCUAAUACCGCAUAAGCCCUAAGGGGGAAAGCAGGGGAUCUUCGGACCUUGCGCUAUUGGAUGAGCCUGCGUCGGAUUAGCUAGUUGGUGGGGUAAUGGCCUACCAAGGCAACGAUCCGUAGCUGGUCUGAGAGGAUGAUCAGCCACACUGGAACUGAGACACGGUCCAGACUCCUACGGGAGGCAGCAGUGGGGAAUAUUGGACAAUGGGGGAAACCCUGAUCCAGCCAUGCCGCGUGUGUGAAGAAGGCUCUAGGGUUGUAAAGCACUUUCAGUAGGGAGGAAAAGUUAGUAGUUAAUAGCUGCUAGCCCUGACGUUACCUACAGAAGAAGCACCGGCAAACUCCGUG
RNAcentral lists this ribosomal RNA (449 nucleotides) under uncultured bacterium. RNAcentral describes it as "bacterial SSU rRNA". It matches the Rfam family "Bacterial small subunit ribosomal RNA", at positions 61 to 507 of the family's 1533-position model. The record is from RNAcentral.